Molecule: ribosomal RNA, 492 nt
Filed under: uncultured bacterium
Lineage: Bacteria
Description: partial 16S ribosomal RNA
Rfam family: Bacterial small subunit ribosomal RNA
Source: RNAcentral
AGUGAACGCUGGCGGUAGGCCUAACACAUGCCAGUCGAACGGCAGCACAGUAAGAGCUUGCUCUUACGGGUGGCGAGUGGCGGACGGGUGAGGAAUACAUCGGAAUCUACUUUUUCGUGGGGGAUAACGUAGGGAAACUUACGCUAAUACCGCAUACGACCUACGGGUGAAAGCAGGGGAUCUUCGGACCUUGCGCGAUUGAAUGAGCCGAUGUCGGAUUAGCUAGUUGGCGGGGUAAAGGCCCACCAAGGCGACGAUCCGUAGCUGGUCUGAGAGGAUGAUCAGCCACACUGGAACUGAGACACGGUCCAGACUCCUACGGGAGGCAGCAGUGGGGAAUAUUGGACAAUGGGCGCAAGCCUGAUCCAGCCAUACCGCGUGGGUGAAGAAGGCCUUCGGGUUGUAAAGCCCUUUUGUUGGGAAAGAAAAGCAGCAGGUUAAUACCCCGCUGUUCUGACGGUACCAAAAGAAUAAGCACCGGCUAACUUCGUG